GCCGAGGUGGUGGAAUGGUAGACACCGGGGACUUAAAACCCCUGGCUGUAAGGCCGUGUGAGUUCAAAUCUCAUCCUCGGCA
This 82-nucleotide transfer RNA is filed under the name Spirochaetaceae bacterium. RNAcentral's name for it is "tRNA-Leu". It matches the Rfam family "tRNA". From Rfam's summary of the family: Transfer RNA (tRNA) molecules are approximately 80 nucleotides in length. The record is from RNAcentral. Lineage: Bacteria; Pseudomonadati; Spirochaetota; Spirochaetia; Spirochaetales; Spirochaetaceae.